RNA transcript from Entelurus aequoreus (snake pipefish), 1780 nucleotides. RefSeq lists it as uncharacterized. The transcript has 9 exons. NCBI's taxonomy places the organism in Eukaryota, Metazoa, Chordata, Actinopteri, Syngnathiformes, Syngnathidae. The record is from RefSeq and is a predicted model, not a curated record.
GUACAAAUAGCUGCGGUACCGGAAACAAUUUGUGGAACUCGCCUUUACGAACGCUGUCACGCCAAAUUUCUUCCCAUUACAAAACCCUUCUUAUCCCCCAUUUACUUCCGGGGUCAUUUCCUCUUACGUCAUUUCCUCUUACUUACGUAAUUUCCUCUUACGUCAUUGACAGCAAUCGAUAGAAUCCAAAUCUCCUGAAAUGGUGGUGUCACUGAAUGAUAUUUGUCUUUAUCUUUCCCAGGGGACUUAUGUCAAACACCAGCAGGCUUCGAAACAUUUCAAGCGGAGUGUUAGGGCCUCUGCUGGGAACUUCUGUCUUCGUGAAGAGGUCCUGUACCAUGGGAACAGAAGGGUCAUUUUGACAGAGGAGGAGAAAGUGGCUGUGUUAACCGAAGCCCAUGCAGGCCAUUUUGGACCACGGAGGAUGCAAGCGAAGAUUGCUCCCCGGUUUUAUUGGCGGUCCAUCACACAGGACACAUUGGCUUGGGUUACAACUGAGUGUCCUGAGGUGAUGGCAGCUCCUGACCAGGCUGAUUCUCUGGAGGCCUUUGUGCAGCUCCGAGUGGGCCAGGAUGAGGACGUUUUUGGAAAGGUGAUCAACAAUGUGGAGAGGGCCCAAGAGAGACAGAAAUUGUCAUACCGGCAGAGGAUGAAGAAAGGGGCCAAGCGCUUCAUCAUCCAACCUGGAAUGGAGGUCCUCAAGAAGGAUGUGAGGAAGAAAGGGAGACCUGGGCGAACCAUGGACCCAAACUGGAGCCAGACCAUCUACAGGGCAAAUAUGUCUUCAUUGCCAACAUGUAUAUUGUACCAACGUGGAAGCACAAAGACGUUGAUCCAAUGUCAAGCCUUCCAAGGGAUGCACAUCUAAAGGAUGCACUCCUCUUCCCAGCGUGGAGCAAGCACAACGGGCCAGAGCAUUACCUUCUCUGUCUGGACAUGCAGUCAAUCCGGCGUUGGUGGUGUGUCCUUCUAAUGGAGCGCUUUGGCAUUGAAGGGUAGGACAACUUCUUGAAAUAUCUGAUGUAUUGUUUAUCAUGAUUAGUAGCUUCCUGCGAUGAGGUGGCGACUUGUCCAGGGCGUACGCUGCCUUCCGCCUGAAUGCAGCUGAGAUAGGCUACAGCGACCCCAAAAAGGGACAAGCGGUAGAAAAUGGGUGGAUGGAUGGAUGGAUGGAUUAGUAACUGUAAUCUGAAGAGCUUUUCUUCAAUUCCCCCAAAGGCAUGGCCAGAGGUUCUGUUAUUGGACAGACAAGGCGAGCGGCCUAUUGCAGGGCAUUCUUCAGCCAGUGUUUAGGGUAUCCAGAAACUCAGUCCAGGCCAUCGACUGCGUUAUCAAAGAAUAACUGAAUACAGUACUGGUGCCGUGUGUUAUUUGACAUGAGAAAAUGGAAUAAAACAAUUCUUCUGGAUGUAAAGCGUUGCUUCAAGUGUGACAUGUGCAAUACAUUCUGUUCUUCAUAAAUAAAAAAGGCAAUGACAAGAAGGUCUCCUUUUCCUAAGCGUGUGACUGAAUGUCUCCAGUGACGACUUCCUGCAAAAAUAGUAAGGGAGGAUGUGUGCAUAGGUACAGUUACUACAUAAACAUGUUUCAAAAUCAUGUUUCACUAUAAUCAUAAACAUUUAAUUUUGAUAUUUGUCACAAACUCACUUCAAGAUGUAGCCGUAAGCUUUUGUCUUGAGUAAAAAAAAAUCUAAAAGCAAAGCACUAGUUACUGUAGAUUUCUUUGGUGUUUGGCUAUAGUUAAGCCAUCUCCUGAACUGAAAAUGUACAGAGCUCAAGU